Molecule: ribosomal RNA, 253 nt
Filed under: uncultured bacterium
Lineage: Bacteria
Description: partial 16S ribosomal RNA
Rfam family: Bacterial small subunit ribosomal RNA
Source: RNAcentral
UACGUAGGUGGCAAGCGUUGUCCGGAUUCACUGGGCGUAAAGGGUCCGUAGGCGGUUUAGCAAGUGAGUGGUGAAAUUUCACGGCUCAACCGUGAAACUGCCUUCCAAACUGCUAAACUUGAGGCAGGGAGAGGUCGGCGGAAUUGCCGGUGUAGCGGUGAAAUGCGUAGAUAUCGGGAGGAACGCCAGUGGCGAAGGCGGCCGACUGGAACUGUUCUGACGCUGAGGAACGAAAGCUUGGGGAGCAAACCGG